Molecule: ribosomal RNA, 519 nt
Filed under: uncultured bacterium
Lineage: Bacteria
Description: bacterial SSU rRNA
Rfam family: Bacterial small subunit ribosomal RNA
Source: RNAcentral
CGAACGCUGGCGGCGUGGCCUAAUACAUGCAAGUCGAACGCACUCUCGUUUAGAUUGAAGGAGCUUGCUCCUGAUUGAUAAACAUUUGAGUGAGUGGCGGACGGGUGAGUAACACGUGGGUAACCUGCCCUAAAGUGGGGGAUAACAUUUGGAAACAGAUGCUAAUACCGCAUAAAACCUAACACCGCAUGGUGUAGGGUUGAAAGAUGGUUUCGGCUAUCACUUUGGGAUGGACCCGCGGUGCAUUAGUUAGUUGGUGAGGUAAAGGCUCACCAAGACCGUGAUGCAUAGCCGACCUAAGAGGGUAAUCGGCCACACUGGGACUGAGACACGGCCCAGACUCCUACGGGAGGCAGCAGUAGGGAAUCUUCCACAAUGGACGAAAGUCUGAUGGAGCAACGCCGCGUGAGUGAAGAAGGUUUUCGGAUCGUAAAACUCUGUUGUUGGAGAAGAAUGUAUCUGAUAGUAACUGAUCAGGUAGUGACGGUAUCCAACCAGAAAGCCACGGCUAACUACGUG